RNAcentral lists this ribosomal RNA (477 nucleotides) under uncultured Thauera sp. Its description in RNAcentral is "bacterial SSU rRNA". It matches the Rfam family "Bacterial small subunit ribosomal RNA", at positions 903 to 1382 of the family's 1533-position model. Lineage: Bacteria; Pseudomonadati; Pseudomonadota; Betaproteobacteria; Rhodocyclales; Zoogloeaceae. The record is from RNAcentral.
CUACAAAUGAAUUGACGGGACCCCGCACAAGCGGUGGAUUAUGUUGUUAAUUCGACGCAACGCGAAGAACCUUACCAGGCCUUGACAUACUCGGCAAAGCUCUAGAGAUAGAGUGGAGGUUAUCCGGGAUACAGGUGGUGCAUGGUUGUCGUCAGCUCGUGUCGUGAGAUGUUGGGUUAAGUCCCGCAACGAGCGCAACCCUUGUCACUAGUUGCCAUCAUUUGGUUGGGCACUCUAGUGAGACUGCCGGUGACAAACCGGAGGAAGGUGGGGAUGACGUCAAGUCCUCAUGGCCCUUAUGGGUAGGGCUUCACACGUCAUACAAUGGUCGGUACAGAGGGUUGCCAAGCCGCGAGGUGGAGCCAAUCCCUUAAAGCCGAUCGUAGUCCGGAUCGUAGUCUGCAACUCGACUACGUGAAGUCGGAAUCGCUAGUAAUCGCAGAUCAGCAUGCUGCGGUGAAUACGUUCCCGGGUCUU